AACGAACGCUGGCGGCAUGCCUAACACAUGCAAGUCGAACGAGACCUUCGGGUCUAGUGGCGCACGGGUGCGUAACGCGUGGGAACCUGCCUUUAGGUUCGGAAUAACUCAGAGAAAUUUGAGCUAAUACCGGAUGAUGUCUUCGGACCAAAGAUUUAUCGCCUUUAGAUGGGCCCGCGUUGGAUUAGCUAGUUGGUGGGGUAAAGGCCUACCAAGGCGACGAUCCAUAGCUGGUCUGAGAGGAUGAUCAGCCACACUGGGACUGAGACACGGCCCAGACUCCUACGGGAGGCAGCAGUGGGGAAUAUUGGACAAUGGGCGAAAGCCUGAUCCGGCAAUGCCGCGUGAGUGAUGAAGGCCUUAGGGUUGUAAAGCUCUUUUACCCGAGAUGAUAAUGACAGUAUCGGAGAAUAAGCUCCGGCUAACUCCGUG
Molecule: ribosomal RNA, 432 nt
Filed under: uncultured bacterium
Lineage: Bacteria
Description: partial 16S ribosomal RNA
Rfam family: Bacterial small subunit ribosomal RNA
Source: RNAcentral